RNAcentral lists this long non-coding RNA (223 nucleotides) under Gossypium barbadense (sea-island cotton). RNAcentral describes it as "long non-coding RNA (GBAR_LNC010427)". The record is from RNAcentral. Lineage: Eukaryota; Viridiplantae; Streptophyta; Magnoliopsida; Malvales; Malvaceae.
UUUAGCUGGUCAUAUCGAGACUGAACCCAUUCAGCUUCAUCUAACCUUAUCUCUGUUAAAAUUCGGAGAGAAGGUAUUUCCACUUCAAUAGGUAAAACUGCUUCCAUCCCGUAAACUAACGAGAACGGAGUUGCCCCAGUAGAAGUUCUAACAGAUGUUCGAUAGGCCAAGAGUGCAAACGGUAGCUUUUCAUGCCAAUCCCUAUAAGUCUCAGUCAUCUUUC